Molecule: ribosomal RNA, 473 nt
Filed under: uncultured bacterium
Lineage: Bacteria
Description: partial 16S ribosomal RNA
Rfam family: Bacterial small subunit ribosomal RNA
Source: RNAcentral
GGUGAACGCUGGCGGCGUGCCUAAGACAUGCAAGUCGAGCGGGCCGCGGGGUUUUACUCCGUGGUCAGCGGCGGACGGGUGAGUAACGCGUGGGUGACCUACCCGGAAGAGGGGGACAACCCGGGGAAACUCGGGCUAAUCCCCCAUGUGGACCCGCCCCUUGGGGUGUGUCCAAAGGGCUUUGCCCGCUUCCGGAUGGGCCCGCGUCCCAUCAGCUAGUUGGUGGGGUAAUGGCCCACCAAGGCGACGACGGGUAGCCGGCCUGAGAGGGUGGCCGGCCACAGGGGCACUGAGACACGGGCCACACUCCUACGGGAGGCAGCAGUUAGGAAUCUUCCGCAAUGGGCGCAAGCCUGACGGAGCGACGCCGCUGGGAGGAAGAAGCCCUUCGGGGUGUAAACUCCUGAACCCGGGACGAAACCCCCGACGAGGGGACUGACGGUACCGGGGUAAGAGCGCCGGCCAACUCCGUG